ACGGGUGAGUAACGCGUGGAUAAUCCGCCCUGGUAUCCUGGAUAACAUCUCGAAAGGGGUGCUAAUACGGGAUAAGCCCACGGGGACUUCGGUUCUUGCGGGAAAAGGUGGGGACCUUCGGGCCUACCGUAUCAGGAUGAGUCCGCGUGCCAUUAGCUAGUUGGCGGGGUAAUGGCCCACCAAGGCGACGAUGGUUAGCUGGUCUGAGAGGAUGAUCAGCCACACUGGAACUGAGACACGGUCCAGACUCCUACGGGAGGCAGCAGUGGGGAAUUUUGCGCAAUGGGGGAAACCCUGACGCAGCAACGCCGCGUGAGUGAUGAAGGCCUUCGGGUCGUAAAGCUCUGUCAGAGGGAAAGAAGUGUAGUAGGGAUAAUAUUCCUAUUACUUGACGGUACCCUCAAAGGAAGCACCGGCUAACUCCGUGCCAGCAGCCGCGGUAAUACGGAGGGUGCAAGCGUUGUUCGGAUUUAUUGGGCGUAAAGCGCGUGUAGGCGGUUUUUUAAGUCUGAUGUGAAAGCCCCGGGCUCAACCUGGGAAGUGCAUUGGAAACUGGGAGACUUGAAUACGGGAGAGGGUAGUGGAAUU
This 588-nucleotide ribosomal RNA is filed under the name uncultured bacterium. RNAcentral's name for it is "bacterial SSU rRNA". It matches the Rfam family "Bacterial small subunit ribosomal RNA", at positions 102 to 668 of the family's 1533-position model. The record is from RNAcentral.